GGUUAAGCGACUAAGCGUACACGGUGGAUGCCCUGGCAGUCAGAGGCGAUGAAGGACGUGCUAAUCUGCGAAAAGCGCCGGCGAGGUGAUAUGAACCUUUGACCCGGCGAUGUCCGAAUGGGGAAACCCAGUGUGUUCCGACACACUAUCGUUAACUGAAUACAUAGGUUAACGAGGCGAACCGGGGGAACUGAAACAUCUAAGUACCCCGAGGAAAAGAAAUCAACCGAGAUUCCCCCAGUAGCGGCGAGCGAACGGGGAGCAGCCCAGAGUCUGAAUCAGCUUGUGUGUUAGUGGAAGCGUCUGGAAAGUCGCACGGUACAGGGUGACAGUCCCGUACACGAAAGCACACAGGCUGUGAACUCGAAGAGUAGGGCGGGACACGUGGUAUCCUGUCUGAAUAUGGGGGGACCAUCCUCCAAGGCUAAAUACUCCUGACUGACCGAUAGUGAACCAGUACCGUGAGGGAAAGGCGAAAAGAACCCCGGCGAGGGGAGUGAAAAAGAACCUGAAACCGUGUACGUACAAGCAGUGGGAGCCUCUUUUAUGGGGUGACUGCGUACCUUUUGUAUAAUGGGUCAGCGACUUAUAUUCUGUAGCAAGGUUAACCGUAUAGGGGAGCCGAAGGGAAACCGAGUCUUAACUGGGCGUUAAGUUGCAGGGUAUAGACCCGAAACCCGGUGAUCUAGCCAUGGGCAGGUUGAAGGUUGGGUAACACUAACUGGAGGACCGAACCGACUAAUGUUGAAAAAUUAGCGGAUGACUUGUGGCUGGGGGUGAAAGGCCAAUCAAACCGGGAGAUAGCUGGUUCUCCCCGAAAGCUAUUUAGGUAGCGCCUCGUGAAUUCAUCUUCGGGGGUAGAGCACUGUUUCGGCUAGGGGGCCAUCCCGGCUUACCAACCCGAUGCAAACUACGAAUACCGAAGAAUGUUAUCACGGGAGACACACGGCGGGUGCUAACGUCCGUCGUGAAGAGGGAAACAACCCAGACCGCCAGCUAAGGUCCCAAAGUCAUGGUUAAGUGGGAAACGAUGUGGGAAGGCACAGACAGCCAGGAUGUUGGCUUAGAAGCAGCCAUCAUUUAAAGAAAGCGUAAUAGCUCACUGGUCGAGUCGGCCUGCGCGGAAGAUGUAACGGGGCUAAACCAUGCACCGAAGCUGCGGCAGCGACACUAUGUGUUGUUGGGUAGGGGAGCGUUCUGUAAGCCGUUGAAGGUGUCCUGUGAGGGGUGCUGGAGGUAUCAGAAGUGCGAAUGCUGACAUAAGUAACGAUAAAGCGGGUGAAAAGCCCGCUCGCCGGAAGACCAAGGGUUCCUGUCCAACGUUAAUCGGGGCAGGGUGAGUCGACCCCUAAGGCGAGGCCGAAAGGCGUAGUCGAUGGGAAACAGGUUAAUAUUCCUGUACUUGGUGUUACUGCGAAGGGGGACGGAGAAGGCUAUGUUAGCCGGGCGACGGUUGUCCCGGUUUAAGCAUGUAGGCGGAGGUUCCAGGUAAAUCCGGUUCCUUGUUAACGCUGAGGUGUGAUGACGAGGCACUACGGUGCUGAAGUAACAAAUGCCCUGCUUCCAGGAAAAGCCUCUAAGCAUCAGGUAACAUCAAAUCGUACCCCAAACCGACACAGGUGGUCAGGUAGAGAAUACCAAGGCGCUUGAGAGAACUCGGGUGAAGGAACUAGGCAAAAUGGUGCCGUAACUUCGGGAGAAGGCACGCUGAUAUGUAGGUGAAGCCCCUGCGGGUGGAGCUGAAAUCAGUCGAAGAUACCAGCUGGCUGCAACUGUUUAUUAAAAACACAGCACUGUGCAAACACGAAAGUGGACGUAUACGGUGUGACGCCUGCCCGGUGCCGGAAGGUUAAUUGAUGGGGUUAGCGGUAACGCGAAGCUCUUGAUCGAAGCCCCGGUAAACGGCGGCCGUAACUAUAACGGUCCUAAGGUAGCGAAAUUCCUUGUCGGGUAAGUUCCGACCUGCACGAAUGGCGUAAUGAUGGCCAGGCUGUCUCCACCCGAGACUCAGUGAAAUUGAACUCGCUGUGAAGAUGCAGUGUACCCGCGGCAAGACGGAAAGACCCCGUGAACCUUUACUAUAGCUUGACACUGAACACUGGUCCUUGAUGUGUAGGAUAGGUGGGAGGCUUUGAAGCGUGGACGCCAGUCUGCGUGGAGCCAACCUUGAAAUACCACCCUUUAAUGGCUGGUGUUCUAACGUAGACCCGUGAUCCGGGUUGCGGACAGUGUCUGGUGGGUAGUUUGACUGGGGCGGUCUCCUCCCAAAGAGUAACGGAGGAGCACGAAGGUUAGCUAAUCCUGGUCGGACAUCAGGAGGUUAGUGCAAUGGCAUAAGCUAGCUUGACUGCGAGAGUGACGGCUCGAGCAGGUGCGAAAGCAGGUCAUAGUGAUCCGGUGGUUCUGAAUGGAAGGGCCAUCGCUCAACGGAUAAAAGGUACUCCGGGGAUAACAGGCUGAUACCGCCCAAGAGUUCAUAUCGACGGCGGUGUUUGGCACCUCGAUGUCGGCUCAUCACAUCCUGGGGCUGAAGUAGGUCCCAAGGGUAUGGCUGUUCGCCAUUUAAAGUGGUACGCGAGCUGGGUUUAGAACGUCGUGAGACAGUUCGGUCCCUAUCUGCCGUGGGCGCUGGAGAAUUGAGGGGGCUGCUCCUAGUACGAGAGGACCGGAGUGGACGCAUCACUGGUGUUCGGGUUGUCAUGCCAAUGGCACUGCCCGGUAGCUAAAUGCGGAAGAGAUAAGUGCUGAAAGCAUCUAAGCACGAAACUUGCCCCGAGAUGAGUUCUCCCUGAGACUUUAAGUCUCCUGAAGGAACGUUGAAGACUACGACGUUGAUAGGUCGGGUGUGUAAGCGCAGCGAUGCGUUGAGCUAACCGAUACUAAUGAACCGUGAGGCUUAACCUU
Molecule: ribosomal RNA, 2904 nt
Filed under: Enterobacter sp. Z1
Lineage: Bacteria; Pseudomonadati; Pseudomonadota; Gammaproteobacteria; Enterobacterales; Enterobacteriaceae
Description: 23S ribosomal RNA
Rfam family: Bacterial large subunit ribosomal RNA
Source: RNAcentral